UACGAAGGGGGCUAGCGUUGUUCGGAAUCACUGGGCGUAAAGGGCGCGUAGGCGGAUGUGUCAGUCAGGGGUGAAAUCCCGGAGCUCAACUUCGGAACUGCCUUUGAUACAGCACGUCUUGAGUCCGAUAGAGGUGGGUGGAAUUCCUAGUGUAGAGGUGAAAUUCGUAGAUAUUAGGAAGAACACCGGUGGCGAAGGCGGCCCACUGGAUCGGUACUGACGCUGAGGUGCGAAAGCGUGGGGAGCAAACAGG
This 253-nucleotide ribosomal RNA is filed under the name uncultured bacterium. Its description in RNAcentral is "partial 16S ribosomal RNA". It matches the Rfam family "Bacterial small subunit ribosomal RNA", at positions 524 to 776 of the family's 1533-position model. The record is from RNAcentral.